RNAcentral lists this ribosomal RNA (406 nucleotides) under uncultured bacterium. RNAcentral's name for it is "partial 16S ribosomal RNA". It matches the Rfam family "Bacterial small subunit ribosomal RNA", at positions 30 to 526 of the family's 1533-position model. The record is from RNAcentral.
AUUGAACGCUGGCGGCAGGCCUAACACAUGCAAGUCGAGCGAGCGGCGGACGGGUGAGUAAUGUCUGGGAAACUGCCUGAUGGAGGGGGAUAACUACUGGAAACGGUAGCUAAUACCGCAUACCAUCAGAUGUGCCCAGGUGGGAUUAGCUAGUAGGUGGGGUAACGGCUCACCUAGGCGACGAUCCCUACCUGGUCUGAAAGGAUGACCAGGCACAAUGGAACGGAGAAACGGUCCCGACUCCAACGGGAGGCAGCAGUGGGGAAUAUUUGGCAAUGGGCGCAAGCCUGAUACAGCCAUGCCGCGUGUGUGAAUAAGGCCUUCGGGUUGUAAGGCACUUUCAGCGGGGAGGCGUUACCCGCAGAGGAAGCACCGGCUAACUCCGUGCCAUCAGCCGCGGUAAUAC